RNAcentral lists this antisense RNA (75 nucleotides) under Mycobacterium intermedium. RNAcentral describes it as "ASpks TB sRNA". It matches the Rfam family "ASpks TB sRNA". Lineage: Bacteria; Bacillati; Actinomycetota; Actinomycetes; Mycobacteriales; Mycobacteriaceae. The record is from Rfam by way of RNAcentral.
CUUGAUCGAACCCAGCCACAACGGUCGAUCCGCUGCGCGGCCCUGCCCGUAGGUCGCGAGCAGGGCUUGCGCUUC